Molecule: transfer RNA, 66 nt
Filed under: Dicyphus sp.
Lineage: Eukaryota; Metazoa; Arthropoda; Insecta; Hemiptera; Miridae
Description: tRNA-Trp
Source: RNAcentral
AAAGCUUUAAGUUAAAAAAAACUCUUAACCUUCAAAGUUAAAUAUAUAUAGGUAUUAUAAGCUUUA